GCCCAGAUAGCUCAGUUGGUAGAGCAUUCCCCUGAAGAGGGAAGGGUCGUCAGUUCGAGCCUGACUCUGGGCA
RNAcentral lists this transfer RNA (73 nucleotides) under Candidatus Vogelbacteria bacterium GWA1_51_14. Its description in RNAcentral is "tRNA-Phe". It matches the Rfam family "tRNA". From Rfam's summary of the family: Transfer RNA (tRNA) molecules are approximately 80 nucleotides in length. Their secondary structure includes four short double-helical elements and three loops (D, anti-codon, and T loops). Lineage: Bacteria; Candidatus Vogeliibacteriota. The record is from RNAcentral.